CGGCCGGAGCAGCACUUCCAGCCCCGGCUGUCCCUGGAGUGGUGGGAGCUGCCGCUGGCCCCAGGCACUGUCCCCUGAGGAGCUGCUGAAGGACGCUGCAAGGAAGACCUUGAGGACAGCCGGAGACUGACGGGAGCCAGCAGGGAGAAGCGGAAGGGCAGCAGCAGGAGCAGGGAACGGGGACCUGCUGCUGCCAGCCUGGAGAGAGCCCGGAUGUCCCAUCUGCUGUCCCUGUCCAGGAGAGCUGCUCUGCACGGG
Molecule: long non-coding RNA, 258 nt
Organism: Serinus canaria (Common canary)
Lineage: Eukaryota; Metazoa; Chordata; Aves; Passeriformes; Fringillidae
Exons: 3
Source: RefSeq, a predicted model, not a curated record